RNAcentral lists this ribosomal RNA (253 nucleotides) under uncultured bacterium. RNAcentral's name for it is "partial 16S ribosomal RNA". It matches the Rfam family "Bacterial small subunit ribosomal RNA", at positions 524 to 776 of the family's 1533-position model. The record is from RNAcentral.
UACGUAGGAGGCAAGCGUUGUCCGGAAUUACUGGGCGUAAAGCGCGUGUAGGUGGUGGGACAAGUCUGCUGUGAAAGCGCCUGGCUUAACCGGGCGAGGUCGGCGGAAACUGUUCGACUCGAGGACGGUAGAGGGGGGUGGAAUUCCCGGUGUAGUGGUGAAAUGCGUAGAGAUCGGGAGGAAUACCUGUGGCGAAGGCGGCCCCCUGGGCCGGCCCUGACACUGAGACGCGAAGGCGUGGGGAGCGAACGGG